This 407-nucleotide ribosomal RNA is filed under the name uncultured bacterium. RNAcentral describes it as "bacterial SSU rRNA". It matches the Rfam family "Bacterial small subunit ribosomal RNA", at positions 917 to 1322 of the family's 1533-position model. The record is from RNAcentral.
GGACCCGCACAAGUAGUGGAGCAUGUGGUUUAAUUCGAAGAUACGCGCAGAACCUUACCAACACUUGACAUGUUCGUCGCGACUUUAAGAGAUUAAAGUUUUCGGUUCGGCCGGACGAAACACAGGUGCUGCAUGGUUGUCGUCAGCUCGUGUCGUGAGAUGUUGGGUUAAGUCCCGCAACGAGCGCAACCCUCACUUUUAGUUGCCAUCAUUAAGUUGGGCACUCUGAAAGAACUGCCAGUGAUAAGCUGGAGGAAGGUGGGGAUGACGUCAAGUCCUCAUGGCCCUUACGUGUUGGGCUACACACGUGCUACAAUGGUAUCUACAACAGGAAGCAAGACGGCGACGUUAAGCAAACCGCAGAAACGCCGCCCAGUUCGGAUUGCAGGCUGAAAUUCGCCUGCAUG